This 243-nucleotide unclassified non-coding RNA is filed under the name plant metagenome. RNAcentral's name for it is "partial contains small subunit ribosomal RNA, internal transcribed spacer 1, and 5.8S ribosomal RNA". The record is from RNAcentral.
UCUCCGUUGGUGAACCAGCGGAGGGAUCAUUACCGAGUUUACAACUCCCAAACCCAAUGUGAACCAUACCAAACUGUUGCCUCGGCGGGGUCACGCCCCGGGUGCGUCGCAGCCCGGAACCAGGCGCCCGCCGGAGGGACCAACCAAACUCUUUCUGUAGUCCCCUCGCGGACGUUAUCUUUACAGCUCUGAGCAAAAAUUCAAAAUGAAUCGAGACUUUCAACAACGGAUCUCUUGGUUCUG